This is a long non-coding RNA of Haemorhous mexicanus (house finch), 377 nucleotides long. RefSeq lists it as uncharacterized. The record is from RefSeq and is a predicted model, not a curated record. The transcript is spliced from 2 exons. NCBI's taxonomy places the organism in Eukaryota, Metazoa, Chordata, Aves, Passeriformes, Fringillidae.
GUUCCAGUUUGGAAUUUAUUUCUGCCUAAAAGUUGGAGGGGAAAAAGCAGGAAAGAAGAUUGGAGUGUUCAAUUUGGUUUUUCAGGAACGAGAAGGUACCAAAACGGAACUAAAACAAGCCAUGAACAUUCAGUGGCAUUCUCUGAAAGAAGUCACAAGUAGAAGACCAGAUAGGAGCUUUUUCCAUUUCUUUCUUUUGGUCUUUGUUAGAGUAGUUUUACAAUAAGCACUCAUCUACAAGUACUUAUGUAUAGUCACAAGCAAAGGUAAGAAAAUGCCAUCUGCAAAUUUAUUAUUAGUGAACAGCUUUAAAACAAGCACCCUCCUGUAAGUAUUGCUAUGUAGUUUAUCUAUAUAAACUGAUAGAUUUAAUCUAA